UUUUAUUUGCCACCGGGUAAAUAUUUAAGGUAUCACGGGUAUUUCGUUAGGUCUUAGAAGAAAUACUUUUGAUACCUUUUUAUUU
This 85-nucleotide non-coding RNA is filed under the name unclassified sequences. The record is from RNAcentral.